This 564-nucleotide unclassified non-coding RNA is filed under the name Hevea brasiliensis (rubber tree). Lineage: Eukaryota; Viridiplantae; Streptophyta; Magnoliopsida; Malpighiales; Euphorbiaceae. The record is from RNAcentral.
AAAAAAAAACAAAAAAAAAAAUGACAACAAAUUCCUGAAACAGCAUACUUGGUGGGUGUUAAGCAUUAACUUUACAUUUGUUUGUUCAGUAUCUGAUACAGAGAAGUUAGUUAUCUUAUGAACUGUGACAGUUAUGUUAUAUCAUGAAUUUAUUGUUUUAUGCAUGUGGGAAUAUCUUCUGGCAUUGAAGCAAACUUCAAAAAUUUUUAUUUUGUAGUUUCACUGUUUCCCCCUUGACCUGACUUUCCAAUUGUUUCUGAUGUCAGGAUAACAAAUUUAUAAUUCAUGUUGCUGUGCGUUAAUCAUUUACUUGAACGUGUUGUCCUGGAGUUAGAUAUGAUAGCCUCUUCUCCUGCCUCACAAAUCCAAGUGUUGGAUCAUGGAUGUUUUGCAUGUAGCCUUAACAAUCUAUGUUGAAAGUUGAAUACUGCCAAAAGGCCGCUGAUAUUUCAUUUAAUCAUUUUCAUUGUUUGGAUUUUGUGUCACACUCUUUGAUUGGGUGAAUUCCCAAUAUUCUUAACUUGCAGUUUCUGAAUUUGUAGUUGCAGAUCGACAUCCACCAAA